This 245-nucleotide ribosomal RNA is filed under the name uncultured bacterium. RNAcentral describes it as "partial 16S ribosomal RNA". It matches the Rfam family "Bacterial small subunit ribosomal RNA", at positions 524 to 768 of the family's 1533-position model. The record is from RNAcentral.
CACGUAGGGCGCAAGCGUUGUCCGGAAUCAUUGGGCGUAAAGAGCUCGUAGGCGGUCCGUUACGUCUGCUGUGAAAACCCAGGGCUCAACCCUGGGCUUGCAGUGGAUACGGGUGGACUAGAGGUAGGUAGGGGAGAAUGGAAUUCCCGGUGUAGCGGUGAAAUGCGCAGAUAUCGGGAGGAACACCGGUGGCGAAGGCGGUUCUCUGGGCCUUACCUGACGCUGAGGAGCGAAAGCGUGGGGAG